This 253-nucleotide ribosomal RNA is filed under the name uncultured bacterium. Its description in RNAcentral is "partial 16S ribosomal RNA". The stretch from base 44 to 253 matches the Rfam family "Bacterial small subunit ribosomal RNA", at positions 567 to 776 of the family's 1533-position model. The record is from RNAcentral.
UCCUUCUUUUUCCCUCUUUCUCCUUCUUCCCUUUUUUUCCCUUUUUCUUCUUUUUUUCUUUAAUUCCUUUUUUAAAUCUCCAAGCUUAACUUGGAAACUGCCGUGGAUACUAUAGAUCUUGAAUAUUGUGGAGGUAAGCGGAAUAUGUCAUGUAGCGGUGAAAUGCUUAGAUAUGACAUAGAACACCGAUAGCGAAGGCAGCUUGCUACACAAUCAUUGACACUGAGGCACGAAAGCGUGGGGAUCAAACAGG